UAUAUAUUUGUUAUUAUUUUAAUUCAAUCGUAAGACAUAGCUCUUCGAAGAUUUUUAGGGUAGGUGUCUACCGAAUGGAUGUACUUACUUUCGUUGUAUUAGAAGGGGAAAAAACUGUUAUUUCUGAAGAUCUUGGUAAAAUUUUGCCUUUAAAAUUGAUGAGAUAAAUCUCUCCCGGCCUGUAGAUUGGCCAUCACAGGUAGAUUUUGAUGAAAACUCAUAAUUCACUUUUCAGCUCGUUCCAAGCCUUAUGUCAAAAUAAUAAUGGAGGUAAAAAAUAAAUGAUAAUAAUAGAUUUUGAACAAUAAUAAAUACCUAAUAACUAUGCAUAGGGUCCUAAGAUCCUCAUACUCUUUCUAAGGCUUUUUUCAUUCUCUUCUUGUCCUAUCUCCUAGGUCGUAUGCAGUUGAGCCUGAAGAAGAACCACGCAGGAAUAAAAAGUCCUAUGCAGAUGAGCUUGAUGAAGAACCUCGCAGGCAUAAAAAGUACCAUGCAGAUGACCCUGAAGAAGAACCCCGCAGGCAUAAAAAGUCCUAUACAGAUGAGUUAGAAGAAGAACCUCGUAGGCAUAAAAAAUCCUAUGCAGAUGAGCCUGAAGAAGAACCUCGUAGGCAUAAAAAGUGAGUAGUAUUACCUCUCAUUUGUCCCAAUUUAUCAUUUCCUCAUUACUUAACUUUUUUCAGCCAGUUAUGCUCAAAACUAUUUUCAAUUACUUUAACUUUAAGUAGAUUAAUUUCAAAUAGUCAUGACACUAUUUGUUACGCAGCAAAAAAAUUGCAAGCUUUUGGAGUAGUUGUAAGAUGUCAUGACCAUACCAGACAAGAUGUUUACUCAUGACGUCCAAUACGGUGUCAUUUUCGACUCCCAUGAUCUGACGCACUUUAUCAUUGUGGAACCGAUCUCUUCUAGAUAUUCCAGCUGACCUUUUCCAGAUAUCCAUCUCCGUUGCUCUCAGCAUACCCUGUGUCCUUGUGUCCUGUGUUCCAUGUAAAUACUAAGCACAAAAAAAGGGUAUGUUUGCAGAAUAAAAUCUUGAUUAGUCCCUUUAGGUUUUUGCCGCUUAAUUAAAAUGAACACCAUUCGUUUGACUUUCGGUAUGUACACUUGUUGAAGGUAGUAAUUCUUUUUUAAAUCCUUUUGGGGGUUUUGAUCCGGUUCUUAAUUAAUAUUAACCAGUUUGAAAGUUUGUCCAUUCUGAAGUUCAUGUCUUAAACACCAAGAUUUAGAAUCAUUUCUAACUGGAUUCCAAGAAAUACAUGAUAGAGAAGAUUGCCUCACAGUACUGUAGCUAUACUGUAACUGUAGAGCUGUUACAAAAGUGGAAUUUUAAAAUCAAAAUAUAAACUACUGUUCUGAUUUGUGGCUAAUAGUCGUAUUUUUUCUUCUCGCUUCUAGGUCUCGUCAUGAAGAGCCCGAUGAAGACCCAUUGAAACAUAGAAAGUAAGUGUCUCUGAUGGUUAAUUUUUUUAUCAGCACUCGAAAUGAGUAAAUCCUGAAUUGACUCAGGAUGAAGGAAAUGUGGAAUUCUCUUGCCACAAAAUAGUGGUUUGAAAUUACUUUUCCCUUGCAUGUUGGAAGCUAGUUCAUCCAUGGCCAUUAUGAUGGUAUGAUCACCAUCCCACCAUCCAACUAACUAAGGCAGCUCUGGGGAAUUACUUUUAUAGAACUUCCUUUUAAUUGAUCAAGUUUGAUCAUUUAAUCGGCGUAGAUUUAUCAUUCACCAUUGAAGUGACUAAUUUCUUCCUCAUCGUAUAUUUUUUUGUCAUCAUUUCAUAAUUUAUGAAUUUUGAGAGAAUCUCUUCAUAUAAGGUUAAUGGGUCUUGGAUCUUCUUGAGAAGAUCAUGCUGUGUAUAGCCACACUAACUCUCAUCUCAUCAAGAUUUUAUCCAUCAUUAAGAACUAUAUCAUUCUUUUAACCUGUUUUAUUUAUUGUACAUAAUGCUC
RNAcentral lists this long non-coding RNA (1944 nucleotides) under Bemisia tabaci. RNAcentral describes it as "lncRNA ENSSSA3NGG013323". Lineage: Eukaryota; Metazoa; Arthropoda; Insecta; Hemiptera; Aleyrodidae. The record is from RNAcentral.